UGCAUAGCAGCUCUUAUUUUACAUACUACUACUCAUACUGAUCAAAGUCACUCAGUUGGGAUGGGUGGGAGUAGGAGGUUUGUGGGGUGGCUUGUGCGGAGGAGUUGGCAGCUUCUUUCCAGGACCUGGUUGCUUCUCUGCUGGAGUUGAAGGAGGCUUAAUCUUCCGAGGUGGCUUGUAUGAGUCUUCAGCAUUCUCAGCUGGAGGGUGACCAGGGUUGUGACCAUAAUGUGGUGGCUUCUCUCCCUUAGGUGGUUUGCCAACUGGGGUUGGUGGCUUGUAUGAGUCUUCAGCAUUCUCAGCAGGAGGGUGACCAGGGUUGUGACCAUAAUGUGGUGGCUUCUCUCCCUUAGGUGGUUUGCCAACUGGGGUUGGUGGCUUGUGUUCUGGGAGUGGCUUCUCCCCCUUGGGAGGUUUUUCCAAUGGGGUUGGUUUGUGUUCAGGAGGUGGCUUCUCCACUGGAGGCUUGUGUUCAGGAGGUGGCUUCUCCACCGGAGGCUUGUGUUCAGGUGGUGGCUUCUCCACCGGAGGCUUAUGCUCUGGUGGUGGCUUCUCGAAUGGGGGAUGCUUAGGAUAAUCAGCAAGUGAGGGGGCGGUGAGAACCACCAGGCCAAGCAACACCACUAGCAAAUAUGUAGGAGACAUCUUUGGGUUUGGGCUCAGAUGGUGCAAAACUAGGAGAAUUGGCUAGCCUUUUAUAGCGGAUCGUACCCAAUAAUGAAAUGACACGUGUCAUUAUGACCCAUGUGUAAUGGGGUCGAUUUGGGUCCUACAGUGUUGAAAACUUCGACAUCCACUUUUGGCCUUUUGCUUUCUCUACAGCCGCCUUGCUUUUUCCCUCUUUCCUUUUGUUUUCCUCCUGCCCCAUUCUAUCAACUAAACACAAUUAUGUAGUUGUUUAAUUCUUAAAUGAGAUAUUAUCCGUCAAUCGUAUUAUAUUUUAUCAAGAGAGAACGGAGUGCAAUGUGGCUGUAAUUUUAUCGUUUAGUUUUAUCUCUUGGACCACUGCAUUUUUGUUAAGAGGUGCAAUAAUACACGUCUUUAUCUGCCAUUCAAUAUUUACAGUAAAGAGAGGGCACAAAACUCUUCACUUCGCACCAUAAUUAUUUUGUUUUCUGGACACCCCGGGGCCCUUUGGUUGGUUUGGGGGUCAGAAAGUGAACAUCAUAGGGGGUUUUUCCCUUAUGUGCAUUUGUAUCUGAUGGCUUUAACUCGCCUUGUUACUACAAAGAAACUGUCACAGAUAGGAACUUAUUCCAGGCUGAGUAUCUCCUCAUAGACCCUAUAAAAGAAGACAAGUCAUAAUGAACAUCUAACCUUUGUUCAAUUUGAUUCAAUGCCCCCAUUGUGUCCAUCUCACAAAUCUGAAUUAUUAUAUCCAUUGAAUACAUAAAUUAAUGAAGAAAAUAUGAAACCCAAGAUACAUCUCUGCACAACCUCAACCCUGGUUGCUAUGUUUCCCUUCUAUUCACAUGAUUUGAUGCUAAUUGCCAAACUUGCAACAAGCCCUGAGUUUGACACCUAGUAUCGAUGGGCGAAUUUAAAGUCUCCUCCAAACAUAUAUUCCACAGCUUGAAGCUCACAGAAGAUGUUACAGGCAGGGAAAAACCUUCAGAGUUCGCUACCAAAGAUAAUUAUUAAGGAGAUAUCACAAAGAGAAUUCCAAGGGGUCUGAAUCAAAGACAAAUUGGUCGUUCGUGGGGGUUCUUACUUUCUUUUGGGUAUAACUCACUGAGGGCACUGUCUUUGUUAUUUGCAUUUCACAUUUAGAGUUCUGUUCUGGAAACAUAUAAAAGGAGCAUCAUUUUGUUCUUGGGUAACCCAUAGUCGUGAGUGGGUCCAUUUGCAUGCUACUUAGUUGAAAAGUUGGACCAUUUGCUCCGACGCCUACCUCCCGGAUUCCAUGCUCGGAUAAAACAAGAAUAAAAAAAAUAUUUAUAAUUUACAAAUGGGGGAAAGAAAAAAAUGUCAACAACAAACCAGGAAAAAAGAGUAGUAAAAUUCAUGUCACAUGCUAGUGAGAGAAGGGGUUGUUACACUCACUCGAAGUUCUUUCCAAAAUAUCGCAUGGUAUUUUAUUUUAUGUGUCAGCGCAGUUGUGAAUGGAACGUGCAAAAGUCCAAAUUGGCGUUUUUCCUUUUCCCGUGUAGGAUGGCGACCUUUAAUAAAUAUUUAAAACAAAAAACGAAAAAAAGGAGGGAAAAGGGAUCAGAAAAGAUAAAACAAUGUGUACAAGAGCUCAAUUAGUUUGCAAAUUACUGUUUGGAUUUUGAUAGUAUUUUAUUUGUCCAUCUAUAUUUGAUGGAAAAGAGAAUUUAAGAUAUUUCUGAAACAAAAGCAUUAGUGUAAAACUAAAUUAAGGUAUAAUUAAGUUAGUUCAAUGCAUUAAUUUAAGAAACUUGAUCUAUCCAAAGUACAAAAUUAGAUGAAAUCCAUUUCAAUGGUUAAAAUGAUCAAAAUCAAACUUUUUCUAAGUAUUUUUUAAAAGCAUCAAUAUUAAAAGACAAUUUUAUAUUUAGUCGGAGUUUGGACAAAACCAAAAAGCACACAAAAUCCAAGCGACCAUCUCUAGCUUGGAUAGUCACUUGAUCCCACCUAGAGAUGUGCAUGAGUAAAAGGAUUUGAAAAUGGAAAUUGACUAAAUAUUUAGUUGAUCAAUUAAAUUUGCAAUGUCAUAUGCAAUCCUAAUAGCUAGUCAUCUAAUCAAUUAGGUAGUCAAUCAAGUGUUUGUAAUGACUAUUUUGUACAAAAAACCACAUGUAUAGUUAAAUAUAAUGCAUUUCAUUUAUAAAUCUUCUAAUUCUUGAAUAACGAUCCUAUCAUCCUUUGAAAAUUUUUAUUACACCUUUUUUACUUUUGUUCUAAAACUUACAUAUCACCCUUAAUUGUACCAUGAGAACCUAGCUAUUUUUUUUUUUUUUGUAAUUCAUCAAAGUUAGCUUUUGUAUUCAUUGUUGUAUUAUUUUUAGUAUAACUUAGAAAGCUAGUGUUUUCAAGUGAGUAAAAUUAACUUGUAAAUAUUGUAAAGAUUCAUUGAUAUGUAUCUUAAACUAAGUGUACAAAUUAAAACAUUUGCUAGUAGAUUUUCUCAAAAUUUAGAAUAGAGCUUGAGGCUAUUGAAAUAGGUGGGGUUACACCAAACCACAUCACAUCGUUGUUUGCACCUUUUUUCACUCUCUUUUACUUAGUUUCUCUAUAUUUGUUGUCUAGUAAUAUCCUAUAGGCUUGAUGGGUUAGGGAGCAUCCCUUUGUGAAAAAAUUUCAUUCAAUUCUUAGUUGUAUUACGCAUAUAUAAAAUGCCUCAUUGUUUUAAUGGUAUUCAGUCGUGGCAUCACAGAUAUGGGCAUCUAAAUUUUAAAAGUUUGAAACUUUUGUAAAGCAUGUUGAUAAAAUCCAUGAGAGUUGUGUACUUGGGAAGCAACAUCGAGGUGACUUUAUUUUUUUUUCCUUUUAUAAUGCCACACCUAAGUCCGGUUUCUAAAUGCUAAAGUGAAAGGGUAGGUAUGGACCAUUGAAAUGUGAUCACAACUUUUGGCCUUUUCCUUUCUCUGCAGCCAUGUUGUCUCUUUUUUCUUUUGCAUGAUUUUCUUACCAAAACAGAAUCAUAGACUUGUUUAGUCUCUAAGCUACUAUAUUAUAUCUCGGUGGACUUUUAAGAGUGCAACCGACAUAGAGCACAUGCAAGUGGGCAUAUGGGACAUGAAAUUUCUUCUUACAAAGAUUGCAUGAUUUUUAUAUUAGAGUUGUUCACGUGCAAUGUAUUUAGCUUGUUUUGCAGUUAAAUUAAUUGGAUAAGUAAACAUUGGCAUUUCUAAAUCGACUGUGAAGUGCUUCAUGUACGUGUAAAGUAUUAGAAAUUUCUUUCUUGGCAACUUGUUUUUUCCUUGCCAUCUACUGGUAGGUUUGACUAAAAUUAUAUUCCCUGUCAUGCUAAUUAAUUUUCAUGUGCAUGCUCAAAAGAAGAGUAUGACCUUAGUGCACCAAAAUCACUUUGAUUAAUUUGUGAUAGGUUUUUUUGCAUCAUUUAGAUAAUGUUUAGUUCUAAGAAAAAUUUAUAUAAAAAUGGUUUAUUUAUCUUACAUAUAUAUAUAUAUAUAUAUAUUUUUUUUUUUUUCAUUUUUUUUUCUUCUAUUUUAUUUAUUUAUUUUAUUUUCCUUAUGUUUUCCUCACAUUUUCCGGAACUAAACAUAGUCUUACGAAAUCAACAAUUGCCUUCAACUGAGUAGAUUCUGUUGUUUUAGCAAUGUUAGGCUGCUAACUUGUGGUGGUACGAACCAAAUGACCCAUGUUAAUCUUGGCUUGGUUUGAUUUGGCUCUAUCUCAGAGAGCUAAAGGAUCACGUCAACUCUGGUUUCUACUAUUCAGGUCCAUUCCCAGAUGAACUGGUUCAAAUUUGAGAAAAUGGUAACAGACCUUUAGUGAUGUUGGUUUGGAGCCAGUUGCCAAACCCGCCCUGAGCUUUACCACUAAUGUCAAGGGAGAAAGCCAUUUGAACAAAAACAAUAGCUUCAAGAGACUGAAUCGUGGAUGAAAUCUGAUCCACAUUUCUUCUCAUUUUGGGAAAAAAUGAGAACUUAACUACAAAGAUUCUACUGCCUCAUUCAUAGUGCUUUUCCUGAUCCAAGGUUGGUUCGUUUCCCAAAUUGUGAGGUGCACGUGCCACUCUCACGCUCAGGAGUGUAUCCACGUGGUGGACAUCAGAUGGUGGCUUAAUAUCUGGUGUCGGUGGCUUUACUUUACUAGGAGAGUAGUGUGUCUUCAUCUCAUUCACUGCCGGAGGGUGGCGUAAGCAGUGACGCUAAGGUGGGGCACAGUCAAUAUCAUUUGCAUUUGACCAUUAUAGUUUUCUCCCGGCUUGAAAGUAACCUUAUCGUGAUAAAGGAUUACUAGCACUAGUUCAGAUGACCGUCAUGUUAAUUCGGACCAUGUUUGUGUCACAUUAUCAGCAACCAUGUGUUUAUGGUUCAUGCUAUCUGCAACUAAACUUGAUAUAUAACCAGGUGAACUUCAAUCAAAAUUCUGGAAGUACUCUUGUGAUAGAUGGUGCCUGUCUGCAGAGUCCAUCAAUUGAAAAAUGGAGUGAGUGUAUCUAUAAGAGGGAAGGCUUGGCAAAUGUUCAGUUUUCUGGGAAUUCAACAAGGAUCUAAAAUAGAUUGUUUUCUUUGCCGACUUCAAUGGUUGAAAUUUGAGAAGAUUGUGUCCACAUAUCACAACUAUUACUGGUCCUUCUGUUGCAAUUUAUCCUGUAAGGCUCUAACAUGUCUUCCAAUUCCCACUUCCCUGUUACUCCAGGAAAGCUAUUUCUGUCAUUGUGAAGAAGAAAAGAGAAUGUACAUAUCGAUGCUUUUAAGUGACUGGAGCAUUCAUAUCAGGUGGUCUGCAGCCAUAUAUGCCACUUUGUGAAGGUUGGAACAGUCAAUCACUAGGCUAUAUAUUGGUGUGGCCCAGCCACUUCAAUCAAGGACAAGUCUUCAUACUUAAAGUCAAAUUCUGCCUUUAGUCUCAUUAUAAAUUGCUGUUUAAAUAUUAAGCAAACUUUUGUUUAAUGCGAUUAAGACAGUACUAACUCAAUACUUGUUCUAUUUUUGGAUGCAAAUGCUUGAUGGUUUCAUCAUUGGAUGGGAUAAAGGUGCAUUCAUGAUUAUGAAUACUUGUAGUUAUAUUUUCAUUCUCUUUUUUCUCAAUGAGACUUGUUGGCACAAUGUUGCUGUUCAGAAACCUACCUCUCCAUGGAAAAUAAGUUGCGAUUGAUAGUACUGGAUAUGUUCAAGAAAGCUAAAUAUAGAUAGCACAAAAUAUUAUCGAUAUAAAUAGCAUUAACAGCGUACGUAUGUCUCAAUGCUCAUCAGCUAUAAGCAUGGGACAAACACUUACUAUGAGCAACUUACGUCAAAAUUCCAGAAUAGGACAUAGAAGUGACAGAUCUAUAUAUAUAGAACACUGCAUAUGAGUCACAAGAAAGGAAAUUACGGGUGCAUAGCAGCUCUUAUUUUACAUACUACUACUCAUACUGAUCAAAGUCACUCAGUUGGGAUGGGUGGGAGUAGGAGGUUUGUGGGGUGGCUUGUGCGGAGGAGUUGGCAGCUUCUUUCCAGGACCUGGUUGCUUCUCUGCUGGAGUUGAAGGAGGCUUAAUCUUCCGAGGUGGCUUGUAUGAGUCUUCAGCAUUCUCAGCUGGAGGGUGACCAGGGUUGUGACCAUAAUGUGGUGGCUUCUCUCCCUUAGGUGGUUUGCCAACUGGGGUUGGUGGCUUGUAUGAGUCUUCAGCAUUCUCAGCAGGAGGGUGACCAGGGUUGUGACCAUAAUGUGGUGGCUUCUCUCCCUUAGGUGGUUUGCCAACUGGGGUUGGUGGCUUGUGUUCUGGGAGUGGCUUCUCCCCCUUGGGAGGUUUUUCCAAUGGGGUUGGUUUGUGUUCAGGAGGUGGCUUCUCCACUGGAGGCUUGUGUUCAGGAGGUGGCUUCUCCACCGGUGGCUUGUGUUCAGGAGGUGGCUUCUCCACCGGAGGCUUAUGCUCUGGUGGUGGCUUCUCCACCGGAGGCUUAUGCUCUGGUGGUGGCUUCUUGAAUGGGGGAUGCUGAGGGUAAUCAGCAAGUGAGGGGGCGGUGAGAACCACCAGGCCAAGCAACACCACUAGCAAAUAUGUAGGAGACAUCUUUGGGUUUGGGCUCAGAUGGUGCAAAACUAGGAGAAUUGGCUAGCCUUUUAUAGCGGAUCGUACUCAAUAAUGAAAUGACACGUGUCAUUAUGACCCAUGUGUAAUGGGGUCGAUUUGGGUCCUACAGUGUUGAAAACUUCGACAUCCAGUUUUGGCCUUUUGCUUUCUCUACAGCCGCCUUGCUUUUUCCCUCUUUCCUUUUGUUUUCCUCCUGCCCCAUUCUAUCAACUAAACACAAUUAUGUAGUUGUUUAAUUCUUAAAUGAGAUAUUAUCGGUCAAUCGUAUUAUAUUUUAUCAAGAGAGAACGGAGUGCAAUGCAGCUGUAAUUUUAUCGUUUACUUUUAUCUCUUGGACCACUGCAUUUUUGUUAAGAGGUGCAAUAAUACACGUCUUUAUCUGCCAUUCAAUGUUUACAGUAAAGAGAGGGCACAAAACUCUUCACUGCUCUGCAUGUGUCCCAAAAAUGCGAUUGGACAAAUUAUGAUUUGCAUGCUAAAAAGAGGCAAAUGAGGUUAAUUCGCACCAUAAUUAUUUGGUUUUCUGGACACCAUAAAAAGAUGUUAUACAGGCAGGGAAAAACCUUCAGAGUUAGCUACCAAAGAUAAUUAUCAAGCAGAUAUCACCAAGAGAAUUCCAUAGAGUCUGAAUCAAAGACAGAUUGCUCGCUCGUGGGGGUUCUUACUUUCUUUUGGGUAUAACUCACUGAGGUCACUGUCUUUUUUAUUUGCAUUUCACAGUUAGAGUUCUGCUCUGGAAGGUUUGUUCUGGAAACAUAUAAAAGGAGCAUCAUUUUGUUCUUGGGUAACCCAUAGUCGUGAGUGGGUCCAUUUGCAUGCUACUUAGUUGAAAAGUUGGACAAUUUGCUCCGACGCCUACCUCCUGGAUUCCAUGCUCGGUAAAACAAGAAUAAAAAAAAAUAUAUAAUUUACAAAUGGGGGAAAGAAAAAAUGUCGGAAAAAAUAGUAAAAUUCAUGUCACAUGCUAGUGAGAGAAGGGGUUGUUACACUCACUCGAAGUUCUUUUCAAAAUAUCGAAUGGUAUUUUACUUUAUGUGUCAGCGCAGUUGUGAAUGGAACGUGCAAAAGUCCAAAUUGGCGUUUUUAUUUUUCCCAUGUAGGAUGGUGACCUUUAAUAAAUAUUUAAAACAAAAGACGAAAAAAAAAAGGAGGGAAAAGGGAUCACAAAAGAUAAAAUAAUGUUUACAAAAGCUCAAUUAGUUUGCAAAUUACUGUUUGGAUUUUGAUAGUAUUUUAUUUGUCGUUCUAUAUUUGAUGUAAAAGAGAAUUUAAGAUAUUUCCGAAGCAAAAGCAUUAGUUUGCUCUGUGAUGUCCCACAUCGAAUAGGGGAGAAAGUUUCUGGCGCUAUAUAUGUAGAGGCUCCUCUUAACCAAGUAGAUGCGUUUUAAAACCAUGAGGGCCCCCUUAGGUCCAAAGCGGACAAUAUCUACAUGAUUGGGUGUAAGUCAUUACAAAUGGUAUCAGAGCCGAUCCCCGACCCCGGUGUGGGGGUUUGUUUGGCCCUGUAAGGGGUGUUUGUCUGUUUGACCCCACAAUCCCAUGGGACACAACGAGGACGUUGUGUCUGCAUGGGGGGGCGUUUGUGAUGUCCCACAUCGGAUAGGGGAGAAAGUUCCUAGUGCUAUAUAUGUAGAUGUUUCUCUUAACCAAGUAGAUGCAUUUUAAAAUUGUGAGGGCCUCUUUGGGCCCAAAGCGGACAAUAUCUACAUGGUUGAGUGUAAGUCAUUACAUGCUCCAUGUCAAUUUCAGCAUUUCUCAUAUGUUUCACACAUACACAGAAGAGCAUCGUUUUUUAAAGCAUGCAUUUAUGUUGGAUUAAUUUGGAUUUUGUGGGAACUGGGGCAAGGAUCACAUGGAAGAGAGGUUGACUUUUUUCAGUACUUCAAUGGUUGAAAUAUGUGAAGGCUUGAUUGAUACUAAAGCUUGAAAUUGCGACUCUGUCAUUUGUAAAAAAAUAUGACAGCUUCCAUGCUCUCGUUUGGUUGCAUUGUCCGGUCGAGAGGUGCAAAAAGCAUUCUCUCUCUUCUAAUAGUCUUUUCGUUUAAAUCAAGGGAUUUGCCUUCCCGGUCGAGGUCCAAUAGAGGGUAACGGUCACCUACUAAACAUUAAAUGCUCCAACAACUAGUGAACUGAUCGACCCCAGCUCGACUAGUUGAGGUUACUUUUUGGUUUUCUUGUCUCCCGAGGUUAGAAACCUAUAAAUAGAGAGCUUCACUUCAUUUAUGAGUAAGAGAACACCUAAAUUUAUUUGUUUACCUACUUGUUUUUGCCAUAAAAGCUCUCAUUUCUUUUCUUGGUGUAUUAAAUCUCCAUUUGCAUAUCCUUUAGUGCACCUUUGUGAUUCAUUCUAGCCUUGAGUUGUAUUUAAGCCUUUGUUGAGCUAGGUUGAGAGUUUCAUACUUGUUUAUUGAGUGUUAAAGCCUUCAAGUGAGUUAAAACUUGAAGAGAUUGUGUAAGAGCCCAUUGGAGUCGGAAUCCAAGUGUAAAGGUGAUUAAAAGCUUGGUUGAAGCUUCAAGUUAGUGGAACUCUCACUCGGUUAUGAGCUUGAGAAGAGUGGACAUAGACAAGGCAGUGUCGAACCACUAUAAAAUCUGAGUUUGAUUUCUCUAACCUUAUCUCUUUAUAUUUGCUUCUCUUGUGCUUAAAUUUUUUGUGUUUAAAAAGAAUUUUUAAAAACUCAAUUCACCCCCUUCUUGGGAGUUUUUCUCUUUUAAGAUCAGCUUUUAUUUUCUCAAUUGGUAUCAGAACUAUGCCUCUUGUUUAAGACUUAAUCGUCUAAGAGGAAAUGGCUAAUCCAUCAAGUUCAUCUCACAUUGAAAGUUUUGCAACCAAUAGACUUCUUUUUUUUUUUUUGCGGGAACUGAUUAUCCCUAUUGGAAAACUAAAAUGACUUGGUUUUUACAAUCAAUUGAUUUAGAUGUAUGAGAUGCCAUUGAAGAUGACCUAACUUUUCCUUCAAAACUAGUUGAUGGAGUCAUGGUUCCAAAACCUAAGCAAGAAUGGGAUGAGCGUGAUUGAAGAAAUUUUCAAUUAAAUGCUAAAGUCGUUUAUACUUUGCAAUGCUCUAUGGACAGAAAUGAAUAUAAUAGAAUAUGUCAAUGCAAAUCGGUUAAAGAAAUUUGGAGAUUGCUUGAAAUAACUCAUAAAGGAACAAAUCAAGUUAAAGAGUCAAAAAUCAAUUUACUUGUUCAUAGAUAUGAAUUGUUUUUUAUGAAAGAUAAUGAAACUAUUGUUAAGAUGAUCACUAGGUUCACCAACAUUGUUAAUGGUCUUAAAGCCUUGGGAAAGACCUACAAGGAAUCCGAAAACGUGAUGAAGAUCUUGAGGUCACUUCCAUCAAAGUGGCAUACCAAGGUCACCGCAAUUUAAGAAGCAAAAGACUUGAUCAAGCUACCUUUGGAGGAGUUCAUAGGGUCAUUGAUGACAUAUGAAAUCAAUUUGGCAAAGAAGUAACAAAAAGGUGAAGACAAAAAGAAGAAGAACAUAACUCUCAAAGCUACAACUAAGGAAGAAGAAGUUGAAGAAGAAAAACAAAUUGAAGAAGAUGAAGAUUUAGCCCUCAUCACAAGAAAGUUCAACAAAUUCAUGAGGGGUGAAAGGUUUAGAAGAAGAAGGUUCACUUCUAGAAGAGACUUUUCUAAAAAGGAAUCUUCAUCUAAUGGUGACAAAAAGAGAUGGGAAGAGAAAAGAGACUUGGUGUGUUUCAAGUGCAAGAAACCGGGACACAUUAAAUAUGAUUGUCCUCUCUACAAAAGUGAAGUCAAGAGGAAAAAGAAUAAGGCAAUGAUGGCCACUUAGAGUGAAAGUGAAGAUGAAUCAUCCGAAGAAGAAAAUGAGAAAGAAGUGGCAAACAUGUGUUUCAUGGCAAUAGAUGAACUUGAUGAGGUAAAAUCUAACCUUAGUGAUUAAGAUAUACAUGAUGCAUUUGAAGAAUUGUAUGAGGAUUUUUAAAAACUUAGUUUGAAAAAUAUUUCUCUUAAAAAGAAAGUUCAACAACUUGACAAAGAACUUAGAGAAGUAAAAGAAAAAUUUUCAAAUGUUAAAGUUUCUAAAACUCAUCUUGAAAAAGAAAAUGAGAUUCUAAGAAAGAAAAAUGAAUAGUUGAACUCCUCUCUUUCAAUCUUUUCUUCUAGACAAAAAUCUUUUGAAAUGAUUCUAACUAGCUAAAAAUGUGUUUUUGACAAACAAGGGUUAAGAUUUAAAUCUUCAAAAAAUCAAAAGUAUUUUAAAAACUAUUUUGUAAAGGAAUCCACAAGUGCAAGUCCUUCCACUACUUGCAACUUUUGUGGAAGAGAAUGGCACAUUAGUAGUACGCCCUUUAAGAAAUGGUUCUCAAAAGAAUUUAAAUGCAAAAACUAAAAAAGAUUUGGAUUGAGAAAUCCAAGGUCACUAACCCUCAAGGACCCAAAAAGAUAUAGGUACCUAAAUCAACUUGAGUUUUAUGUUGUAAGGUUCAAAGAAUGAUAAGUGGUUCUUAGAUAAUGGUUGCUCAAGACACAUGACCGGAGAUGAAUCCAAGUUUGCUUUUCUUAAAAAGAAAAAUGGAGGAUAUGUUACCUUUGGAGACAAUGCAAAAGAAAGGAUGAUUGGUCAAGGCAACAUUGGUAAUGGCACAUCCUCUCUCAUUGAAAGUGUUUUAUUAGUAGAUGGUUUCAAACAUAACCUUUUAAGCAUUAGUCAAUUUUGCGACAAAGGUUUUUAAGUGAUUUUUUAAGCAUCUCAUUGCAUCAUCAAGGAUAUUCAAAAUGAUAAAACCAUUUUCAUGGGCCAUAGAUGUGAUAAUGUUUAUGCUAUAAAUAUUUCAAAAUAUGAUGGCCAUGAUAGAUGUUUUUCAAGCAUGCAUGAUCAAAGUUGGUUGUGCCAUAGGAGAUUGAGACAUGCUAACAUAGACCUCAUUUCCCAACUCAACAAAGAUGAACUUGUUAGAGGCCUUCCCAAAAUAAUUUUUUAAAAAGAUAAAGUUUGUGAAGCUUGUCAAGUGGGAAAGUAAAUCAAAAACUCUUUUAAAAACAAAAACUUCAUUUCCACAUCUAGGCCACUUGAGUUGUUGCAUAUGGAUUUAUUUGGUCCCUCUAGGACACCAAGUCUUAGAGGAAAUUCUUAUGCAUAUGCUAUUGUGGACGACUUCUCUAGAUACACAUGAGUCUUGUUUUUUAGUCAAAAGAAUAAAGUUUUUUAUGAGUUUUCAAAGUUUUGCAAUAAGAUUCAAAAUGAAAAAGGUUUUUCAAUUACUUAUAUAAGAAGUGAUCAUGGGAGAGAAUUCGAAAAUAUUGAUUUUGAAGAGUAUUGCAAUGAGCAUGGAAUUGACCACAAUUUUUUGGCUCUUAGAACUCCUCAACAAAAUGGGGUAGUUGAAAGGAAAAAUAGAACUCUUCAAAAAAUGACAAGAACCAUACUAAAUGAAAACAACUUACCAAAAUAUUUUUAGGCCAAAACGGUUAACACUUCUUGUUAUGUUUUAAAUAGAGUAUUAUUGAGGCUCAUACUUAAGAAAACUCCCUAUGAGCUUUGGAAAAACAAAAAACCCAACAUUAGUUAUUCCAAAGUCUUUGGAUGCAAUAUUUUAUAAUAAACACCAAAGACAAUCUUGGAAAAUUUGAUGCAAAAUUGGAUGUUGGAAUUUUCCUUGGUUACUCAACUUCAAGUAAAGCUUUUCGAGUUUUAACAAAAGAACCAUGGUUGUAGAGGAGUCCAUCCAUGUUAUUUUUUAUGAAUCUCCAAGAAAGAGAGAGGAUUGAUGAUGAUUUAGGUUUGAAGACCUCUAUAGGAAGAUUGCAAAUCGAAGAUAGAAGACAACAAGAAGAAAAUGGAGAGAAUCCAAAGAAAGAAGGAUCACCAUUGGCACUACCCCCUCAUCAACAAGCGCAAGGUGAAUCAAGUCAAGAGCUUCCUAAAGAAUGGAAGUUUGUCAUCAAUCACCCACAAGAUCAAAUUAUAGGCAAUCCAUCUAGUGGGGUAAGAACUAGAUCCUCUCUUAGAAAUAUUUGCAAUAAUCUAGCUUUUAUCUCUCAAAUUGAGCCUAAAAAUAUAAAUGAUGUUUUAGAUGAUGAAAAUUGGAUAAUUGCAAUGCAAGAAGAGUUAAAUCCAUUUGAAAGAAGUGGAGUAUGGGAAUUAGUACCAAGACCUUCAAAUCAAAGUGUUAUUGGAACUAGAUGGAUCUUUAGAAAUAAAAUGGAUGAAAAUAGCAUAAUUGUUAGAAAUAAAGCAAGAUUGGUAGCCCAAGGUUUUAAUCAAGAAGAAAUGAUAGAUUAUGAAGAAACCUUUGCCCCCGUAGCUAGGUUGGAAGCCAUUAGGAUGCUACUUGCCUUUGCAUGUUUUAAAGACUUUGUUUUAUAUCAAAUGGAUGUGAAAAGUGCUUUUUUAAAUGGUUUUAUAAAUGAAGAAGUAUAUGUUGAACAACCACCCGGUUUUCAAAGUUUCAACUUUCCUAACCAUGUUUUUAAACUUAAAAAGACACUUUAUGGUUUGAAACAAGCACCUAGAUCAUGGUAUGAAAAAUUGAGUAAAUUUCUUUUGAAAAAAAUGUUUUAAAAUGGGAAAAAUUGACACAACUCUUUUUAUAAAAACCAAAGAAAAUGAUAUGCUCUUAGUUCAAAUAUAUAUUGAUGAUAUCAUUUUUGGUGCUACUAAUGUCUCUCUUUAUGAAGAAUUUUCUAAGUGCAUGCAUAGUGAGUUUGAAAUGAGCAUGAUAGGAGAACUCAACUUCUUCCUUGGACUUCAAAUCAAGCAACUAAAGGAAUGAACCUUCAUCAAUCAAGCAAAGUAUAUAAGAGAUCUUCUCAAAAGGUUCAACAUGGAAGAAGCCAAAACAAUGAAGACUCUAAUGAGCUCAUCCAUUAAGCUUGAUAAGGAUGAGAAAGGUAAAUCCAUUGACUCUAUUAUGUAUAGAGGCAUGAUAGGUUCUUUGCUCUAUUUGACCACUAGUAGACCUUACAUUAUGUAUAGUGUGUGUUUGUGUACUAGAUUUCAAUCUUGUCUUAAAAAAUCUCACUUAAGUGUCGUGAAAAGAAUCCUCAAAUAUUUGAAAGGGACAAUGGACAUAGGCUUAUGGUAUCCUAAGAGUGAUAACUUUGAAUUAAUUGGUUUUUUGGAUGCUGAUUUUGUCAGUUGUAGGGUUGAAAAAUAAAACACUAGUGGCACUUUUCAUUUCUUAAGACACUUACUUGUCUCAUGGCAUAAUAAGAAGCAAAAUUUGGUAGCUUUGUCAACAGCAGAAGCUAAAUACAUAGCAACUGGUUUAUGUUGUGCACAAAUCCUUUGGAUGAAAUAAACACUUAGUGAUUUUGAUUUAUCUUUUGAGCAUAUUCCUAUUAAAUGUGAUAAUAGUAGUGCCAUAAGUAUAUCAAAAAAUCUCGUGCAACACUCUAGGACUAAGCAUAUAGAGAUUAGACAUAAUUUUCUUAGAUAUCAUACACAAAAGGAUGAUAUAACACUUGAAUUUGUAAGCAUAAAAGACCAACUUGCCGAUAUCUUUACAAAACCUCUAAGAACAUUUUGUUGAUAUUAGAGGACAAUUAGGAGUGAUUUCUUUAUGAUCUAAUGUGAUGAAUUCUUGAUGAAUAUACUUUUUGAUUGCAUGAAUUUCAUGUCAUAUAUGCAUCAUAUAGAAAUAUACUUAGAUAAUGGUCAAAUUUCGACCAAAAAUCAAAAUUCCCAUGGCAUUAGGCAUAAAAAUUUUGGAAUUUCAACUGAAAAUGGUAGGAGGAGGAUCACAAAAUGAGAAAGUAUGCAAAAAUUGAAAAAUCAAAACGUUGACCAAGCGGUCAAUCGGACUAGACCGAUCGACUAGUUUGUCGAGAUUUAGGAUUUUUAAGAGACUCCAACGCUUCAAUUUUUGCACCGUUCUCCUCUAUUUCUUCACGGUUUCUCUGAUUUUGUCUUUUAGAGACUAAUUUGAGUGCGUUUUGGAUCAAUUGAAGCAUUUUGGAUUGGAUUUUAGGAAGAUUGAAAGUUAAGGUUUCGGAUUUGGGUCGCCUUCUCUUCCUCUCGCGUGUCACAAUCAGCUUUAGCAUUGUUCUCUUUCCAUUUUCACACACCUAGGGUUUCAGUUGUGAGCAUCUCUCUCUCUUUACCAACCACUACUCCCUUGCUUCUUCCAUAUGGCUCCUAGGCGAGAGUCCGCUACUUCUAGGGCACAAGGCAAGCACCCAACUGAGUCGUCUCAGUCAAAGGCACGUCGAAAAGUGAGAUUUGACAUUGCCUUGUUCAGUUCCAUGGAGGACUACCAACUAUACAAGCAACACUUUGCUUAGAGACGAGUAGUUCCCAAGAGAAAUAUUAAUUUUCCUCAACUUCAGCAUUUCGAAUUUAAGGGUCUAUUUACUAGGAUGGUUGGUUGUCUAUUGUCACAAUUUCGGAGCCGGUUUUCCUGACCUUAGUGCGAGUUUUUUACUCGAGGGCGACUUAUGGCAUGGGUGGCAUGAUCAUUUCUACUGUUGGAGGAGUUGAGAUCUGUCUGGACCCAGAGAGCAUCUGCCAUAUUUUCGAUAUUGCUCUGGUUGGACUCAAAGUAUACAAGUCCAAAAUGUGGCCCAUUGUGCCAGGAUUUGAGCUUAGAGAGGUCAUUCAGAGGAUUUGUGAACUUCCAGACGCCCAGGAGAUGGGCAAACCAUUGCCACACAGUUUGACGGUCAUCAACAGGGUGCUACACCAUAUAUUGUGCUCUAUCUUUCUACCACGAAGUGGACAUUGAGAUGAGGUCUCUUAUUAUGAGGCAUUCCUUAUUGACUCCAUUCUAACGGAGAGACGAAUUCAUCUACUAUGUCAUCAUUCACUAAGCCUCCUCACAGUGACAUACCACCUCAUCAGGCACCUCUUGCUCCUGACCAUGCUCCAUUGAUGGAUUUAUUUACUCAUAUUAGCUCUCUAGGCACUCGCAUGAAGGAGUUUGUUGUAGUUAGUGAUACAUGGUUCUACUCCAUAGAGGAUCGCAUGGAUCAGUAUCAGACUGGCUUCACGUCACAGUUUGAGUAUCUCCAAUAGAGGAUUGAGCAUAUUGAGGAUCACUUGAGCAUGAGAAGAUGAUGGCUUUUCUAUGCUCUGUGUUUCCACCUCCACCUCGUCAACCUUGAUUUCUUAGAGACCCAUUGUUUUCAUUUUGUAAUGUUGCCAAAAGGGGGAGAUAUUUAGGAUCUAGGACUCUAUAGGAGACUUACAUGCAUAUCAUUUUCAUAUCAUUGUUUGGAUCGUACAUAUUGGAUAGUGAUACUUUUUACUUAUAUAUGAUAUGCCUAUAUGUUUCAUGUCUUACAUUGUUUCUUAUUGCAAAUUAUCUCUAACAUGUCUUGAUUAUCUUUUUUUUAACUUCAUAAAUUUUGAUUGUUAACCCAUGAUUGGUUUGAGGGGAAGAUUCUUCUUCUCCUAGAUAACCAAGGUUUGUCAUCAUAAAAAAAUUGGAGAUUGUUAGCCCAAGGGUUCUCCUAAUCAUGUUUUGAUGAUAACAAACCAUGCUUAAGUUACUAAUUGGUUUGAAUUAUAAAGAAUUUCAAGUGUUAAUUUGAAAAUUCAUCAAAGAACCUAAUGGAUGCAAGAUCAAGAUUUUUGGAAGACCUUUAAUCAUAAGAAACAUAUGUAAGAUGAAUGCAUGGGUGCACUUAAGAUUUGCAUAUCAUUUCAUGCAUAUUUGGAAAACACGGUUUAUGCUUUAAAGUUACAUUUCCAUCAAAAUUUGAGAUCCAUCAAAUGAACCUUAGGAAAAAUGUUUUAAAAUUGGCAUAUAAUUUUACCUAAAGACCUUGCCUAAGUGUUAGAAGCAAAAGGACAAAAAAAAUAUAGGUUUUCUGGUCAAAAAUGGUGAACCAGUCAAGGCAUUGUCUAAAUCAGCUCAAUCGGCCAAGGUACCGGUCGAUCGGUUUCCCUUUCCCUGUCGAGAUCUAGUCAAGAGGUACAAAAAUCACAAUCUCUGUCUCUUUCUCUCUUUGUCUAUCUUCCAGUAGUCUUUCCUUCCCGGUCGAGGGAUUUGCCUUCCCGAUUGAGGUCCGAUUGAGAGUAAUAGUCACUUGCCAAAUAUUAAAUGCUCCAACAGUUAGUGAACUGGUCGACCCCCACCUUGCCCAGUUGAGGUUACUUUUUGGUUUUCUUGGCUCCCGAUGUUAGAAACCUAUAAAUAGAGAGUUCCACUUCAUUUAUGAGCAAGAGAACACUUGCAUUUAUUUGUUUACCUACUUGUUCUUGCCUUAAAAGCUCUCAUUUCUUUUCUUGGUGCAUUAAAUCUCCAUUUUGAUAUCCUUUAGUGCACCUUUGUGAUUCAUCUUAGCCUUGAGUUGUAUUUGAGCCCUUUUUUUAGCUAGGUUGAGAGUUUCAUACUUGUUAAUUGAGUGUUAAAGCCUUCAAGUGAGUUGAAACUUGUAGAGAUUAUGUGAGAGUCGAUUGGAGCCGAAAUCCAAGUGUAAAGGUGAUUAGAAGCUUGGUUGAAGCUUCAAGUUAGUGGAAUCCUCACUCAAUUAGGAGCUUGAGGAGAGUGGACGUAGCCAAGGAAGUGUCGAACCACUAUAAAAUUUGAGUUUGAUUUCUCUAACAUUGUCUCUUUAUAUUUGUUUAUCUUGUGCUUAAAUUUAUUGUGUUUAAAAAGAAUUUUUAAAUACCCAAUUCACCCCCCUCUUGGGUGUUUUUCUCUUUUAAAAUUAGCCUUUAUUUUCUCACAAACUAUUGUAGUAUAGUGGUUUUUAGGUGUCAUCCAUUAGGAUGAAUUGUUCUCGGUAAUUAAGGCGUGAAUGAGAGGAGAAUUAAUGAUUGUGAUUAAGUAAAAUUGAUUUGAAAAUUCAUGGUGAAAAAUCAAUUUAACAAUGGUUUCUAAUUGAGAAAAACAAUGAAAUGUGAAAUAAAAUAAAAUUAAUAGGAAAUGAAAUUCUCGAAGUUAGAAUUUUCUAAAAAACAAAUUCCAUGGUGAAUGGAUGUUGAGAUCUAAUUUUCAUCAAGUUAGAUUGAAAACCGAAAUUUUCAUAUAAACUGAUUUUUUAUUUAGUUUUAGGUCUAGAUUUAAUUUCCCUUAAAAUUAGGUUAUUUAAUCCAAGAAAUCAAUUCAAAUCAUAUAUUCAAUUCAUCUUAAAUUAUCUUCCAAUUAUUCACACAAUGCAACUAUUCAAUCUCAUCAAAUCUAGCUUUUAAGAAUUUAAUGAAUCUACCUAGUUUGCAUUGUAAUAGUCAUCCAUGACAAUUUGAAGAGAAAAAUAAUUCAAUUAAUCAAUCACUUGGAUCAAAUUACCUUUGCAAUUAAAGUUCAUUUCUCUAAUUCACCACAGAUUUUGUCUCUAGAUCCUCCUUUCUCAAAGAAAAAUGAGAUUUAGCCACACAUGAUUGGAGAUUUGGUCUCAUAAGGCAUGUUUAGCUAGUGAUAAAAUGAGAGAAAAUAAAGAAAAAUAGAGAAUUCGAUUAAGAAAGAAAAUCUAAAAAAUUCUACAAUUAGAAAUGUCCAAAAAGCUUUUUCAUGAGAAAAUCAAGUUUCUAUUUAUAGGCCAAGGUCAAGUGGACACUUGACAUCAUCUAAGAGGUCUUCCGGAAGCUUCUUCAUCAAGAAAUCUGGAGUUUAAUAAUAAAAUGGUCAUUUCACAAGAGCUCAAACAAUUUCGCAUGAUUAUGUGAAAUAAAAAAUGCAACAACAGCAAUUUACAUCUUCUUGGAGCAUUUCGCAUGACUGUGUGAAAUUUUCACAUGAUCAUGUGGAAUCGACUUGACAACUCUCAUUUAGCCUACAACAUAAUUCCACCUUUUGGUCCAUUUUUCAUAGUCAUGCGAAAUGGAAAUAUUUGAUUUUUAAGUUUUCUUUUGUCAUUUCUUUCAUUUCCUUCUCUUGAUUCCACUUCAACUACCUCCGAAUCCUGGUCCAAACCAAUUGCAUUACUUCUUUCAUUAUGCAUUUGGAUCAUCAUCAACAUUAUUUGUUCUCUUCAAUUUGAUUCAUCUCUUUUGUCACCAAUUUAUCAAAAUCAUACCUUGAAAUGACUCCAAAACUUCAUAAAACUUGUUAGUAACUCUUGCAAGGGCAACAACAUAUUAAUUAAGUGUUUUAGGCAUAGUUACUACUCAAAAGAUGCGAAACUCAUGAUAAUUAUUAUAUAAAAUAUGCUCUUUUUGAGUAGUAAUCAACUUUCUUGCAUAAGCAGACCUUUUAGGGUGGAGUACUAAAGACCAAUAUGCUUGUCCUUGUUGUAAUAAAGAAACUUGCUCUUAUUGAUUGCACCAUGGGAGAAAAUUUUGCUACAUGAGUUAUCAUCAAUUUCUUCCCACCAAUCAUAGAUUUAGACGUGACAAGAGGCCUCUUAAUGGCAAGGAGGAACUGACACUCACACUUAUACAAUUAUCGGGCAUUGAUGUGUUGCAACAAUUAGAAUAACUUACACCAAUUAUGUUGGGGAAGUCACAAAAGGCAAACAUGAAAACUAAAAGGAAAAAAGAAAAAUGUUACAUAUCACCACAACUGGAAAGAAAAAAGUAUUUACUUUCAUUUGCCAUAUUGGAAAGCACUUAUUUUACAUCAUAAUAAUUUAGACAUAAUGCAUAUUGAGAAAAAUGUGUGACAAUAUAAUUGAGACAUUGUUCAGUAUUGACGAAGAAACAAGGACAACCUAAAUAGUCAUCUCGAUUUACAAGCUCUAACUAUUAGAAAUGAGAUUCACCCAAUAGAAAGCAGGACCAAAUUUAUUUUGCUUGCAACAUGCUACUCACUCACCCCAAAUGAGAUUAAGGAAUUUUGCAAGUUUUUGAAAUCAAUAAAGGUCCCCAAUGGCUAUUCUUUCAAUAUCUCUCGUUAUGUGCAACUCAAUGAAAGGAAGAUAUAUGAGCUCAAAUUGUAUGAUUGUCAUGUCCUAAUGCAACAACUUCUCUCACUUGUAGUUCGUGGAGUUCUACAUAAGAAUGUUUGUGGAGUUAUCAUAGAAUUGCGUAAUUUUUUCAAGCAAUUGUGCUCAAAGGUGUUAGAAACAAAUCACUUACACCAACUUGAGAACAAUAUUAUUGUCAUACUAUGUAAAAUGGAGCAAAUAUUUCUUCCAUCAUUCUUUGAUAUUAUGGUGCAUUUACUUGUGCAUCUAGUAAGGCAAAGGUUGCAAGACUUGUGCAAUAUUGUUGGAUGUACCUAAUUGAACGAUAUUGUUAUAAUUUCAUAUGAAUCAUUUAAUUUUAUUUUAUAUUAUGUUCAGUUCAUUAACAUGUACAUUGGUCUACAUAUGGAUGAUGAUAGGUACCUAAGCACUUUAAAGUCAUAUGUGCGUAAUAGAACUUUUCUAGAAGGUUCUAUUGUAGAAAGGUACCUUGCAAAAGAAUGUACAACAUUUUAUUCUAGGUACUUGAAUGAUGUGGAAAUAAAGUAUAAUCACAAUGAUAGAAACUUUGUUGGUUUCAACACUAGAGGAGAUGAAAGGGGUUAUCUUUAAACAUAUUGGACAUGCAUUGGGAAAGCCCAUAUUUCAUUAACUUAGUUCAAAAGAGUGGUCACAAGCACAUUUAUAUGUGUUGACAAAUUGCGAAGAUGUCAUACCAUUCAUUGAGUAAAAAAUUUAUUUGAAUUUUAAUUAAAGCUCUAGUUUAUAUCCUUAAUCAAUGUUUUUUAAAUUCACAAGGAGCACAAGCAAACCAUCAAGGCUAGACCACAUAUACGUGUUUGAGACGUAGAUUUAAUUCAUAACAAGGAAUUUAUCAAGUGGUUUGAAAGACAUGUAAGUAUAUUCCUUAUUAUAAGGGAUUUAUUUCACAUUAUGUUUAUAUUGAAUCCAAACCUAUUAUUGAAUUGUAGGUUGAACAAUUACAUAAUGAAGGUCAUAUAUCUGAACACCUUCUCACAUUAUCAUGUGUUCCAAAUUCAUUAGUUACAUGCUUCAAAUGAUAUAUUGUCAAUGGAUUUAGAUCCCACAUUAAAGAACGUGAUAAAAAAGUUUUUAAAAAAAGACUCAGAAUAAUGGAAUUGUUGUAGUUGCAAAAACGUCAAGCUUUACAAGUGCAUGUGAUAUGAGUCCAAUUAUUAGUGAUGCUCUCUACUAUGGUGUUCUAACUAAAGUUGUUGAGUUACAUUAUCUUGGUGAAAAUAAGGUUGUUUUAUUCGAGUUUGAUUGGUGGGAUGUUACAAAUAUUGGAAAAUUGAUAAAAGAUGAUGAGUACAAUUACACAUUUGUUAACUUUGCAUGAAUUCUAACCACGAACGAACGAUUUGUACUUGCAUCUCCAGCAAAGUAAGUGUUCUAUGUGAAGAAUGCGAAUGAAUCAGAUUGGCAUACUAUCAUGGAGAUGCAACCUCAAGACCUCUAUAAGAUGAACGGGAUAGGAUCCAAUGGUGAUUUUGAACCAUUUCAACAAAGUGAACUACAUGAUCACUAAUAUAUCUCAGAUUUAGUUGAUGAAGAUAUAAUCAAGUGGAACAAAAGUGAUGUUUUAGGACUAAUCAUCCUAAAAAAUAUUGUAGUUUCUUAAAAAAAAAAUGAAAAUGAAGAAGAUAAUUGAACCUUUGUCAUACUUUAAAAAGCAACUAUGCAUUGUUCAUUUUGUAUGUUUUGGUUUUCUUCAUUUAAUUUCCUGAUUUUUGUGAUUCAAUGUCAUAUUAUUGAUCUUGAAAUAUUUUUCUAAUUUUUCAUUCUACGAUGGUUUCAACAAGGAUGACAUCAAGUCAAAAAAGGAAAUGUGGUCCCACACACAAUAUUGCAUUACAGGGAUUAAGGUCAGGGAAGAAGGUAAAAGUUGCAUUUAAUGAGUACAAUCAAUUGGUUAAACAGAAAAAUGGAAAACACUUAUCGAGCUACAUAGGGACACUUGUAUCUAACCAACACAAUGUACCUCUCCAAGCUAGUGAUUGGAAAAAUGUUCCAAAUGAUGCAAAAGAGAAAGUAUGGCCUUUGUUUUGGUAUGUUGUAUUUCUCACUAUAUGAUGUCAUUUCACUGUUAUUCUAUUUUGUGACUAACGUUUGAAUCAUAUGUAAGAAAAAUUUGAAGUAGAUAAAGACUGAAAAGAUUACAUGUUGGGUAUAGCCUCAAAUAAAUAUAGAAGCUAUAAAAAUAUGAUGAAUGCAAAAUACUAUGACCCUUGGCAUAAGGAUGCAUGAGGAGAGGUUAAUACAUAAAUCACCAUUUGUCUCUGAUGUUGAUUGGAAGUGGCUUGUCUCUGAUGCAUAAACCAAAUCCCCCACUGAAUGUUUGAUAUUUGAUAGCAGGAAAAACACACCCGCAGCUAUACACCUCCAUCAUUCAGAUAAUUAUAGUGGGGGAGAUGAUUCAUGGUUGCCCUUAUACCCUUUAUUUGCACCAUCUAUUGAGAUUCUUUAUCAUGGCCAGGUUUUACUGCAGCAAUAAGAUAUGGUGGCAACAAUUUUAUCUAUAGGUGCGGUUCCAGACCGCCUCCAUAGGUGCGGUUCCUGACUGCCUCCAUAGGUGCCUCUUCUUGUAAUGUUUGUUCUGGGAAUUACACUUGAAAGCCUUAUCGUGAUAAGGGAUUACAAACACUAGUUCAGAGGACAGCCAUGUUAAACUUCCACUAUGUUUGUGUCACAUUAUCAGCAGCCUAGUGUUUAUUGGUCAUGCUAUCUGCAACUAAUAUAACCCGGUGAACUUCAAUCUAAAUUCUGAAAGUACUCAUGUGACAGAUGGUGCCUUUCAGCAGAUAUCAUCAAUUUAAAAGUAGUGUGUGUGCCUAUAGGUGGGAAGGCCUUGGCAAAUGUUCAGUAUUCCGGUAAUUCAAGAAGGAUAUAUCUAAAAUAGAUUUUCUUCUUGCCCAUUUCAAUAGUUAAAAUUUGAGAAGAUUGUGUCCACAUCACACAAAUAUUAUUGGUCCUUCUGUUGCAAUUUACCUCUGAACAUGUCUUCCAAUUCCCACGGUCCUGUUACUCCAGGAAAACUAUUUCGGUCAUAUUGAAAAAAAAAAUAUUAAAGAAGGUACACAUGCUUUUAAGUGGACUGGGGCAUUCAUAUCAGGUGGUCUGUAUCCACAUAUGCCACUUCGUGAAAGGUGGAACAGCCUAAUCACUAGGCUAUUUAGUGUGGCCCAGCCACGUUAAUCAAGCACAAGUCUUCAUACUUAAAGUCAAAUGGUGUCUUUAGUCUCAUUACACAUCGCUAUUUGAAGAUUAACUCAUCACUAGUGUAAUGCGAUUAAGACAGUCCUAACUCAAUAUUUGUUCUAGUUUUGGAUGCAAAUGCUUGCUGGUUUCAUCAUUGGAUGGGAUAAAGGUGCAAUCAGGACUAUGAAUACGUGCAGUAAUACUUCAUUCUCUUUUUUCUCAAUGAGACUUCUUGGCACAAUUUUGCUGCUCAGCAACCUACCUUUCCAUGGAAAAUCAGUUGUGACUGAUAGUAAUGGAUAUAUUCUAGAAAGCUAAACAUAGAUAGCAUUCAAUAUUAUCGAUAUAACAUUAACAGCGUAUGUCUCAAUGCUCAUCAGCUACAAGCAAUGGACAAACACUUUGAGUAACUCACAGCAGUCAAAAUUCCUAAACAGGACAGACGUGACAGAUCUAUAUAUAGAACACUGCAUAUGAGUCACAGGAAAAGAUAAUACGGGUACAUAGAAGCUCUUAUUUUACAUAUUACUCAUACUGAUCAAAGUCGCUCAGUUGGGAUGGAUGGGAGAAGGAGGUUUGAGGGGUGGCUUGUGCGGGGAAGUUGGCAGCUUCUUUCCGGGAGCUGGUUGCUUCUUUGCUGGAGUUGAAGGAGGCUUAAUCUUCCGAGGUGGCUUGUAUGAGUCUUCAGCAUUCUCAGCAGGAGGGUGACCAGGGUUGUGACCAUAAUGUGGUGGCUUCUCUCCCUUAGGUGGUUUGCCAACUGGGGUUGGUGGCUUGUUUUCUGGGAGUGGCUUCUCUCCCUUGGGUGGUUUGCCAACUGGGGUUGGUGGCUUGUGUUCUGGGAGUGGCUUCUCCCCCUUGGGAGGUUUUUCGAAUGGGGUGGGUUUGUGUCCUGGUGGUGGCUUCUCUCCCUUGGGAGGUUUACCAAUUGGGGUCGGUGGCUUGUGUUCUGGGAGGGGCUUCUCUCCCUGGGGAGGUUUAGUGGGUGGCUUGUGUUCUGGAGGUGGCUUCUCCACCGGAGGCUUAUGCUCUGGUGGUGGCUUCUCGAAGGGGGGAUGCUCAGGGUAAUCACCAAGUGAGGGGGUGGUGAGAACCACCAUGCCAAGCAACAACACUAGCAAGUAUGUAGUAGACAUCUUUGGGUUUGGACUCAGACAGUGCAAAACUACGAGAAAUCGCUAGCCCUUUAUAGCGGCUCGGACCUAAUACUGACAUAAUAUAAAAUAAAUAUUAUAUUUUAUCAAGAGAGAACAGAGUGUAAUUUUAUCAUUAAUACCGAUCGAGGCCAAAGAAAGAAGACCCAUAAUCCAUUUCCCACAAGCAUACACAAUGCAGCUGUAAUUUUAUCAUUUACUUUUAUCCCUUGGACCACUGCAUUUUUGUUGAGAGACACAAUAACACAUUUUUAUCUGUCAUUCAACAUUUACAGUAAAGAGAGGGCACAAAACGCAAUUAGAUAAAUUAUGUUUUGCCUGCUAAAAAGAGGCAAAUAACUUUAUUUGCAACAUAAUUAUUUUGGUUUCUAGUGACCCCGGGGCCUUUCGGUUGGUUUGGGAUCGGAAAAUGAACAUCAUAGGGGGGGUUGUGCCCUUAUGGGCAUAUAUAUCUGAUAGCUUCAACUGGCCUUGUUCCUAGAAAGAAAUUGCCAAAGAUAUAAACUUAUUCCAGGCUGAAAGUAGAUGAGAGUCAUAAUGAACAUCAACCUUUGUUCAGUUUGAUUCAAUGCCCCCAUAGUGUUCAUUUCACAGAUCUGAAUGAUUAUAUCCGUUGAAUACAUAAAUUAAUGAAGACAAAUAUGAAACCCAAGAUACAUCUCUGCAUAACAACCCCAACCCUGGUUGCUAUGUUUCCCUUCUUCUAUUCACAUGAGGAUACUGGUUAUAAUUGUCAAACUUGCAACAAGCCCUUUGACACCUAACGUCAAUGGACGAAUUAAAAGUCUCCUUCAAACGUCUAUUUCACAGCAUGAAGCUUAUAAAGGAUGCUGACAACCUUCAGAGUUAGCGACAAAAGAUAAUUAUCAAGGAGAGAUAGUUCCAUGAGAAUUCCAAGGAGUCUGAAUCAAAGACAAAUUGCUCACUCAAGGGUUCUUAUUUUCUUUUAGGUACAAAUCUCUUGAGUGUUGUUAAAGAAACACGUCACUGUCAUUUUGAUUUGCAUUUAACAUUUCACUUUUGUUCUGGAAGGUUUGUUCCGGAAACAUAUCAAAUGAGCAUCAUUUUCUUCUUCGGUGACACAUGGUCGCGAGUACGUGGGUCCAUUUUCAUGCCACUUAGUUGAAAAGUUGGAAAGAAAAAACAUGCCAACAAGAAGAUAGUGAGAGAAGGGGCACUUCAAGCCUUUAACAUGAACAAACAGUAAAUAAAAGAUGUUUCUCCACUCAUAAAAGUGUGUUAGAUAGCAAUAUAACGAAUCACAUCCAAAAUCUUUACUAGGCUCAAACAUAAAGAAGACUCAUUUUUAAGAAAAGAUAAAAAUGGCAUUGUCUGAUAGUAUCCAAUACACGAGAUGGCACUUAAUUUGUACAAGAUCUGUCAAUGCUGACGCACAUUUUCUGAUUAAAAAAAAACUGAUCAGUCAAAAGCAAUGAAGAGAAGUGAUGACAAUGAAUGAUGCUUCCAAUAUUUUCACCCCUUAUAGUGUUCUUCAUGAUUCAGAUAUAUAAUUGGAAAUAGAACAACCCUAUGCCAUACAUUCGUCUAAGUAUGGUGUCUAAUUUUUUGUGUCAGCGGUUGCGAAUGGAGCGUGCAAAAGUCCAAAUUGGCGUCUCUCCAUUUCCACAUAGGAAGGUGACCUUUAUUGACAAAUACCCAAUAUUUGUAGACAUUCCUUAAAUAUCAUAACUUCUUGUUGAUUUGAAAAUCAUUUUUCAACUACCAUGUUUUAAUAAAUAUUUUUUAAAAUGUAUUUUUAUCAAAGUCCACCAUGAUGGAUAAUAUUCACCAUGCAAUAAUUAAUAAAGUACAAACUAAGCGAAAUGAAAAGCAUUUUCUUUGCUUUGAGUUGAUUUUGGUUGCAUUGAGUUGAUUUUGGUUUCAUGGUUUUUUCAACUCUUAUUUUGAUUGGAAGAUGUCAAGAAAAGAAAACAUAAAGAAAAAUUAAAAGGGAAAAAAGAAGAAAAAUAAAAAAAAAUAGAUUUAAAAGUUAAUAAAUUAUUUUUUAUAUUUAUUUUAAUUCAUUUCACUUAUUUUUCUUUUACUAUAUAAAAUUUAAAUAAUUUAAAUUUUAUAAUUAAUUUAAUUACAUUUCAUUUUCUUCUAUAUUUAAAUAUUGGAAAAAUAUUUUACUUAAUAUUUUUUUCUUUAAUUUCUUUGGCAUUUUGGGAACCAAACUUAGCCUUUAAAAUAAAAAACAAAAAAAAAAUGAAAAUAAGGAGGGAAAAGUGAGAAAAGAUAAAAACAAUAUGUAAAGGAUUUGAAAAGUAUUAGUUUGUAAUUACUAUUUGGAUUUCAAUAGUAUUUUAUUUGUCUUUCUAUAUUUCAUGUAAGAGAGAAUUUAAGAUAUUCCCCAAGGCAAAGCAUUAGUUACCUGCAAUCAGUGGUGAUAAGGCUCCAAGCCAAUUUUGGGCCCCAUAUCUUAAGACAGUACAAUUUCCAUUUCAACAUUUCUGAUUUCUCAGAUGUUUCACAUACCACAGAAGAACAUUGUUUGUGAAAAUAUGCAUUUAUGUUGGAUUUUGUAUGCUGUGGGGACUGGGGCAAGGAUCAUAUGGAAGAGUGGUUGACUUUUUCUGUACUUUAACGGUUGAAAUAGGAUAAGCACGGGCAUUUGUGAGGCUUAAUUGAUUUUGAAGCCUGAAAUUGCGUUUCUGUCAUUUUGUCAAAAAAAUGGCAGAUUCCAUACUCAUAUGUUUGGCCUGUGGCCAUGUACAGAUGCCAUUUAGUGACCAGUUUGUAACUGUCAAUCGUUGCGUUUUGACUCUGCCUCAACAACAUCUGCCAUUGACGGGUUUUCAUACUUGCAAAUCAAAUAGUCUUUCGUCCCAUCAGGAAUUUCGGUUUAAAUAUUAUUAAGCAUACGUUUGGCUGACAAUCAUUAUCCAGUUCAUGAUUUGGUUUCUUACCCUUAAUCAAUGGUUUCUAAGUGAAUAUAUGUAGAAGGAAAUCCGAAGUGUAGACAGUAGUAUCGAUAACUCUCAAUAUUCUCUAUAUAAUAGAAUAAACAGCGUCAUAGUGAUCGUCGCCUACAAGCAAGGUACAAAUACCAAAACGAGUGACUCACAUAGACAUCUCCCAACAAGAUGUAGUAGUGACUGACACAUGGACACAAUUAACUCGUAGAAAAGGAUAAGACCAUUGCACAGCAGCUCUUAUUUUACAUACUACUUAUGCUAACCAAAGUCAAUUAGUUGGGAUGGGUGGGAGAUGGAGGUUUGUGCGGUGGCUUGUGGGGCGGAGUUGAUGGCUUCUUUCCAGGAGCUUCUGGCUUUUUCAUCGGAGCUGAAGGAGGCUCAAUCUUAUGAGGCGGCUUGUAUGAGUCUUCUUUACUCUCGACAGGAGGGUGGCCAGGGUUGUGAUCAUAAUGUGGUGGCUUCUCUCCCUUAGGUGGCUUGCCAACUGGGGUUGGUGGCUUGUGUUCAGGAAGUGGUUUCUCUCCCAUGGGAGGUUUAGCAAUUGGGGUUGGUGGCUUGUGUUCUGGGAGUGGCUUCUCUCCCUUGGGAGGUUUAGUAGGUGACUUGUGUUCUGGAGGUGGCUUCUCCACCGGAGGCUUGUGCUCCGGUGGUGGCUUCUUGGUUGGAGGGGGCUUGGGGUAAUCAGCAAGAGAUGGGGUGGUGAGAACCACCAGUCCAAGGAACAACACUAGCAAGUAUGUGGGAGACAUUUUUGAGUUUGGGCUGAUCAGAUGAUGCAAAACUAAAGCAUUACGUGACCUUUUAUAGCAUGUAGCUCCCAAUACCCACUAAGUAUUGUGGGGUCCAUUUGUGCCCUACGGGGUUGAAAACUUAGACAAUUGGGCAAGGACCCACCUGACUAUGGAGGACUAGUGAGGUGUGAUCAUAGCUUUAGGAUUUUUCUUCCUCUGCAGCCGUCGUGCCGUUGGCAUGAUUUUCUUAAUCUUAAAUAAAGGCAUAGUUAUAGAGUUGUUUAAUCUCUAAAUGGGAUUUUAUAUAUAUCUUCAGAUAGCCAUUAAUAUAUUUGAUGAAGAAAGAAAGACAAGUGCAUACAACAUGUAUACGACUAGCUUUCAUGGAGUUCAUUUAUGAUCAGUUUUCCUGUACAUGUAAACCAGGAUCAUAUAUAUGUUUCUGUUCCACAACUAUUUUGGAAUCUUGUUUAUCAGUUUUUAUCAUUAUAAUGUCACAUAGGCUGCCAACUUGGGCGCUAAAAGAACCAGUUGGGCUAGUUCGUUUCAGAAUUUCAAUGUGGAUUCAGGAAUUGUUUUGUAAGAUAUGCGAAAUAGUAGAGGGAUGAAUAGUGUUUCAUUAAUAAAAGUGUCCUGUAAAUUAGAAGGUGUCAUAGAAACUAUAAUCAAUAAAUAACUUUUUUUCCCCACGGGUGGUGUUUCUUGUGGGGAUCAGUGACUGGUUUAGGUUCACCCAAAAUGAGUUCAGACUAAAAUUGGUUUGAGUCAAUGCCGUGUCUCUUUUUUCCAGAAAUCAACUAUUUUAUGCAUUGAAUAAAUCAUACAAAGAAAAUAUGAACGCCCGCAAAACCUAAACCCUGGUUGCUAACUUUCUAUGUUUCAGUUCUAUUCACGCAAGAAUAUUAGUUUAAGUUUGGGAAAAAUGGCAACUUACCUAGUGAUUACUUGGUUUUGGUUUGCGACUAUUUACGCAACCAACCAUGAGUUUGACUUUAACGUCAUGGGUUGAAGCCUCCUACAGGAAGGGAGAAAGCUCCACAGCUAGCUCCAAAAGAGAAUUAUCACAUUGAUAGCUCCAGAGAUUCCCAAGGGGACUGAAUCAAAGACAAGUUCCUCACUUUUUCUUCUUUUGAGGCCAAAUAUGAACCAAGGAUCACACAACCUCAUUCAACUUCAUAAGUUUGAUUUCAUGCAGUUGAACACUGGGUGAAGGCCAUGACAAGAAUUGAUUCAAAAAUUCUAUCACUCUUUUAAGUAAUGGAAGAUUAUUAUCUCUGAUUGGCAUCACAACAGCACAUGCUCCUAGAUCUUUCUAGACACUCCAUGCAAUGAAAGCACAAUGGAUCUUGUAACGAUAGAAACUAAGCCAUGCUACAGUACUAGAUGAUGAGGUAAAACUAGUAGACACGGGUGGCAGCCUAUAUGGGAGGGACACAAGUCUAAUUGAUUUGCAUUUCAGCAUUAUAGAUAGGUAUGUUUUGGAAGAUUUGUUCUGGAAAUACCGCACCAAGUAGGAUUCUUUUUCUCUUUAGUGGGUCCACUUGCAUGCCAAUUAACGAGUUGAAAAGUAUGAGCACCUACCUCGUGCUCGUGGAACCGAAGGUCAGUGAAGUGGGGCUCCUUUUGGCCUCGUGUAAACUUGAUUCAGAAGUGAAGUUAAUAGUCUUCCAUUCAGAUGGAUACAUGGGAAUUUUUCUCUUUUAUUUAUUUAUUUAUUUUUUUUUUGUGUGUGUAUGUCAAAGGAUAAUGAAUGAAGCGCGUUAGCUUGUUUUCUGACUGGAACCGCAGAUGUCCAAAUUGGAGUUCCUUCAUUUCUUACUUAGGAUUGUUACAUGUAUAAACAAGGUAUAAGAAAUAUGCCAACGUGUCUUGAGGAGUUAUUGAUUAGAAAUAACAAGUCACCCGACUGUAGAGUUCCAAGAUUUGAAUCUUCAGACCCUAUAGCAGCCUCUGGGGUACGUGGCAUCCUAUAGCAUAUUAAUGAAGGCUUUUUCGAUUUAGACUUCACAAUACCAAUUAAUAUGUAUGCACAAAAUGGAGAUGACCCCAAAAAAAACAGAAUCGCCAUAGUUUAUGAGGUUAAGGUGAUUCUCCACUUAAUAUCUACAUUAGCUAAUUAUGUAAAUCAAAUGAACUUCUAUUUUUCCUUUUUUUUUUUGGUUUAUGUCAAAUAGUAGCCCAUAAUUAACCCAACCAUUAGCCUGUUUGAAUUGAUUUCACAUGCACAAUGUUGUAGUAGUUCAUAUUUUGAAUUUUAUUUUUACAAAGGUAGUUAAGGAAAAUGAAGUAUAAUAAUUAUAAAAGCAGACUAUAUACACUACAAUAAUUGUUAGAAUGGUAUCUCAAAUUCUAAUUUAAAAUAUUAUUUUUUGUAAAAGAAAUAUUAUAUAGAAUAUUUCCUAAUUUUAUAAAUGAUUAUAAUUAGAUCUUUAUAAAAUAAGGAAAGUUGGUAAGAAUAUCUUUAUAAAUAUUUUAGGUCAUGAGAGAAAGAAAUGGGAUAAAAAUGUGAUGAAGAGGUGAAAUAAGAGAGUUGAUUAGGAUAUAGAUGUGAAGAAGAAAGGGAUUCAAUAUAUAUAUAUCUUUCAAUUACCACAUUAAAACCCUGUGAACCUUUUAUAUGGUUUACUUUAUUUUUAUAUUCCUCCUUUAAUAUAUUUACAUUAAUGCUUCCAUUGGCACAACAAUAACGAAUUACAAAUACAAGCAACAAGUCCCAUGUUUUAUUACCAAAAGCAGGUAAAAUCCACCUAAUAUAUUACAAUAUAUUCAUCCAAUAUUUUAGACCAAUUCUUCACCAUAAAUAUCAUAAUGUGGCUUUUGUUCUUUCUUAAAUUUAAAUUGAAUUGUCUUAUAUCAAUUUGUUUGUGAUUUUUUCAUUAACUUCACUUUCAUUUGGUUAUCUUUGGUUUUUGAAAAGUAUUAAGGAAUUAAUUAACAAAAUAAUGUUAAGAAAAAUAAUUUUCUCUCUUUUGAUUUUGAUUUUGUAGUAGAAAAAUAUAAUUAAAAUUAUUUAAAAAGUAUGUAAUUUUAAAUUAUUUAAUAUUUAGAUAAAAAAAAUAAGUCUAAUGAGUUUAAAAUAACAUAUAAAAAUAAUUUAUUUAUUUUAAAUUUAUUUUUUAUUUUCCAUUAUGUUCUCUUUCUCUUUUACUUUUUCAUAUUUUUUCUUACGAAGAAUCAAACACAACCUCAUAUUAUAUGUCAAGUGUUUGUCUAUAUUUGAGCAAUGUUAGAUACGGCCAUGGAUUCAUCAAACUAAACUGAUUUUAAUAGAUACUUCACAAAUUGAUUUAUACACUAAAUCAUUGGAUAGCAAUGAUGCAUUGGAAUUAAACGUAGGAUGAAGCUCGAAGAACACUGUUUGUGUAACAACAUAUUUAUGAAAUUAUGCAAAGGAUGAGCUUCGGGGUAGUAGUACAAGGUCAUUAAUGGAGAGCCGUGUUAAACCUUGAUUGUGAUUGGAUUCCGUUAUCAGCAACAGCAACCUUGUUUGUAACCUUGAAAGUCAUUCUGUCCACAUCGAAACUCCAAUUUGACGUUUGUAAUUACCAUUCCUGGAGUGUUCCUUGAUUGAAAUUUAAAUAAUAAUUGCGGCCCACAAGGAAUAUUUUCGAUUCUGUGGGAAUUUGACAAGGUUUGUUAGAGAAGACUGGUGACAUGUUGACUUCAAUGGUUCAAAUAGGAGACGUAUGUGGAUUUGGGGGGUUUAAUUGAAACUGAGUCCCUAUGGCUUUUUAAUAUUUGCAUUGAGCAGUCUCCAUGUGACUUCCUAAUUCCCACCAACCCUCCUGUCCAUGCUGUGAAACUAAAUUGUAAUUUAUCAGCCUUUGUCAAUGGUUUCUAAAUUAAAGAUAUAGACCAUGCAUGUACUUUAAUAAAAGCAAAUCUAAAGUGUAGAUAGCAGCAAUGGUGACACCCAAUAUUCUCCAUAAAAUAGAAUUAGAAUAAGCAGUGUUACAUUGUUCAUGAUCACCUACAAGCAUACAAGAACUUCCAUGAAUAACUCAUAGCAAUUGCCAACAGGGCGUCGUAGAGACUCAUACAUAGAACACUAUCCACCCAGAGGAAAGGACAAGACCAGUGCGCUGCAGCUCUUAUUUUUCACAUGUAUACCACCACUCGUAAUAACCAAAUUCACUCAGUUGGGAUAGGUGGGAGAUGGUGGUUUGUGGGGUGGCUUGUGGGGAGGAGUUGGAGGAGGCUUUAUUUUCUGAGGCGGCUUGUAUGAGUGUGCAGGAGGAUGCCCGGGAGUGUGACCAUAAUGUGGUGGCUUCUCUCCCGUAGGUGGUUUGCCAAAUGGGCUUGGUGGCUUCUCUCCCUUAGGAGGUUUACCAAUUGGGGUUGGUGGCUUGUGUUCUGGGAGUGGUUUCUCUCCCUUGGUAGGUUUGCCAAUUGGGGUUGGCGGCUUAUGUUCUGGGAGUGGCUUCUCUCCCUUGGGAGGUUUGCUAAUUGGGGUUGGCGGCUUAUGUUCUGGGGGCGGCUUCUCUCCCUUGGGAGGUUUGCCAAUUGGAGUUGGCGGCUUAUGUUCUGGGAGUGGCUUUUCUCCCUUGGGAGGCUUGCCAAUUGGGGUUGGCGGCUUAUGUUCUGGGGGUGGCUUCUCUCCUUUAGGAGGUUUGCCAAUUGGAGUCGGCGGCUUAUGUUCUGGAAGUGGCUUUUUUCCCUUGGGAGGUUUGCCAAUUGGGGUUGGCGGCUUAUGUUCUGGGGGUGGCUUCUCUCCCUUGGGAGGUUUGCCAAUUGGAGUCGGCGGCUUAUGUUCUGGGAGUGGCUUCUCUCCCUUGGGAGGUUUUGUUGGUGGCUUGUGUUCUGGAGAUGGCUUCUCCCCUGGAGGCUUGUGCUCCGGAGGUGGCUUCUGAAAUGGCGGGGGCUUGGGGUAAUGAGCAAGAGAUGGAGUACUGGUGAGAACCACCAUUCCAAGCAACAAUACUAGCAA
This 32380-nucleotide long non-coding RNA is filed under the name Vitis vinifera (wine grape). RNAcentral describes it as "long non-coding RNA (VVIN_LNC001392)". Lineage: Eukaryota; Viridiplantae; Streptophyta; Magnoliopsida; Vitales; Vitaceae. The record is from RNAcentral.